RNAcentral lists this ribosomal RNA (864 nucleotides) under uncultured Deferribacteres bacterium. RNAcentral describes it as "bacterial SSU rRNA". It matches the Rfam family "Bacterial small subunit ribosomal RNA", at positions 56 to 904 of the family's 1533-position model. Lineage: Bacteria; Pseudomonadati; Deferribacterota; Deferribacteres. The record is from RNAcentral.
UGCAGUCGAACGAGAAAGUACCCUUCGGGGUGCGAGUAAAGUGGCGAACGGGUGAGUAACACGUGGGUAACCUGCCUUUGAGUGGGGAACAACCCCUCUAACGAGGGGCUAAUACCGCAUAAUGCAGCGGCUCCGCAUGGAGACAGUUGUUAAAGGGGCAGCUUCGGUUGUCUCGCUUGAAGAUGGACCCGCGGUCCAUUAGCUUGUUGGUGAGGUAACGGCUCACCAAGGCAACGAUGGAUAGCCGGCCUGAGAGGGUGUACGGUCACACUGGAACUGAGAAAGGUCCAGUCCCCUACGGGGGCCAGCAGUCUAGAAAUUUGCGCAAUGGGCGAAAGCCUGACGCAGCGACGCCACGUGGAGGAUGAAGCCCUUAGGGGUGUAAACUCCUGUCAGAAGGGAAGAAUGCAGGAAAUAACUUUUCCUGUUUGACGGUACCUUCAGAGGAAGCCCCGGCUAACUUCGUGCCAGCAGCCGCGGUAAUACGAAGGGGGCAAGCGUUGUUCGGAUUUACUGGGCGUAAAGGGCGUGCAGGCGGACCGAUAAGUCGUCUGUGAAAUCUGUCGGCUCAACCAACAACUUGCAGUCGAAACUAUCGGUCUUGAGUACAGGAGAGGAGAGCGGAAUCUCAGGUGUAGCGGUGAAAUGCGUAGAUAUCUGGGAGAACACCGGUGGCGAAGGCGGCUCUCUGGCCUGAUACUGACGCUGAGGCGCGAAAGCUAGGGGAGCGAACGGGAUUAGAUACCCCGGUAGUCCUAGCUGUAAACGAUGGGUACUAGUGUUGGAGGUAUUGACCCCUCCAGUGCCGCAGCUAACGCAUUAAGUACCCCGCCUGGGGAGUACGGUCGCAAGGCUGAAACUCAA